RNAcentral lists this ribosomal RNA (910 nucleotides) under Arthrobacter tumbae. Its description in RNAcentral is "bacterial SSU rRNA". It matches the Rfam family "Bacterial small subunit ribosomal RNA", at positions 560 to 1465 of the family's 1533-position model. The record is from RNAcentral. Lineage: Bacteria; Bacillati; Actinomycetota; Actinomycetes; Micrococcales; Micrococcaceae.
GUAAAGAGCUCGUAGGCGGUUUGUCGCGUCUGCCGUGAAAGUCCGGGGCUUAACUCCGGAUCUGCGGUGGGUACGGGCAGACUUGAGUGAUGUAGGGGAGACUGGAAUUCCUGGUGUAGCGGUGAAAUGCGCAGAUAUCAGGAGGAACACCGAUGGCGAAGGCAGGUCUCUGGGCAUUAACUGACGCUGAGGAGCGAAAGCAUGGGGAGCGAACAGGAUUAGAUACCCUGGUAGUCCAUGCCGUAAACGUUGGGCACUAGGUGUGGGGGACAUUCCACGUUUUCCGCGCCGUAGCUAACGCAUUAAGUGCCCCGCCUGGGGAGUACGGCCGCAAGGCUAAAACUCAAAGGAAUUGACGGGGGCCCGCACAAGCGGCGGAGCAUGCGGAUUAAUUCGAUGCAACGCGAAGAACCUUACCAAGGCUUGACAUGAACCGGAACGGCGCAGAGAUGUGUCGGCCACUUGUGGCCGGUUUACAGGUGGUGCAUGGUUGUCGUCAGCUCGUGUCGUGAGAUGUUGGGUUAAGUCCCGCAACGAGCGCAACCCUCGUUCCAUGUUUCCAGCGGGUUAUGCCGGGGACUCAUGGGAGACUGCCGGGGUCAACUCGGAGGAAGGUGGGGACGACGUCAAAUCAUCAUGCCCCUUAUGUCUUGGGCUUCACGCAUGCUACAAUGGCCGGUACAAAGGGUUGCGAUGCUGUGAGGUGGAGCUAAUCCCAAAAAGCCGGUCUCAGUUCGGAUUGAGGUCUGCAACUCGACCUCAUGAAGUCGGAGUCGUUAGUAAUCGCAGAUCAGCAACGCUGCGGUGAAUACGUUCCCGGGCCUUGUACACACCGCCCGUCAAGUCACGAAAGUUGGUAACACCCGAAGCCGGUGGCCUAACCCCUUGUGGGAGGGAGCCUCGAAGGGGC